RNAcentral lists this ribosomal RNA (497 nucleotides) under uncultured bacterium. RNAcentral describes it as "partial 16S ribosomal RNA". It matches the Rfam family "Bacterial small subunit ribosomal RNA", at positions 28 to 507 of the family's 1533-position model. The record is from RNAcentral.
GAUGAACGCUGGCGGCGUGCCUAAUACAUGCAAGUCGAGCGAACGGACGAGAAGCUUGCUUCUCUGAUGUUAGCGGCGGACGGGUGAGUAACACGUGGAUAACCUACCUAUAAGACUGGGAUAACUUCGGGAAACCGUAGCUAAUACCGGCUAAUAUUUUGAACCACAUGGUUAAACAGUGAAAGACGGUUUUGCUGUCACUUAUAGAUGGAUCCACGCCGCAUUAGCUAGUUGGUAAGGUAACUGCUUACCAAGGCAACGAUGCGUAGCCGACAUGAGAGGGUGAUCGGCCACACUGGAACUGAGACACGGUCCAGAGGCCUACGGGAGGCAGCCGUAGGGAAUCUUCCGCAAGGGGCGAAAGCCUGAGGGAGCAACGCCGCGAGAGUGAUGAAGGUAUUCGGAUCGUAAAACUCUGUUAUUAGGGAAGAACAGAUGUGUAAGUAACUAUGCACAUCUUGACGGUACCUAAUCAGAAAGCCACGGCUAACUACGUG